GGAAUCUUCCACAAUGGACGCAAGUCUGAUGGAGCAACGCCGCGUGAGUGAAGAAGGUCUUCGGAUCGUAAAACUCUGUUGUUAGAGAAGAACACGAGUGAGAGUGGAAAGUUCACACAGUGACGGUAACUUACCAGAAAGGGACGGCUAACUACGUGCCAG
This 162-nucleotide ribosomal RNA is filed under the name uncultured bacterium. Its description in RNAcentral is "partial 16S rRNA". It matches the Rfam family "Bacterial small subunit ribosomal RNA", at positions 358 to 511 of the family's 1533-position model. The record is from RNAcentral.